RNAcentral lists this ribosomal RNA (247 nucleotides) under uncultured beta proteobacterium. Its description in RNAcentral is "partial 16S ribosomal RNA". It matches the Rfam family "Bacterial small subunit ribosomal RNA", at positions 30 to 273 of the family's 1533-position model. Lineage: Bacteria; Pseudomonadati; Pseudomonadota; Betaproteobacteria. The record is from RNAcentral.
AUUGAACGCUGGCGGAAUGCUUUACACAUGCAAGUCGAACGGCAGCAUAGAGAGCUUGCUCUCUGAUGGCGAGUGGCGAACGGGUGAGUAACAUAUCGGAACGUGCCUAGUAAUGGGGAACAACUAAUCGAAAGAUUAGCUAAUACCGCAUACGACCUACGGGUGAAAGCAGGGGAUCUUCGGACCUUGCGUUAUUAGAGCGGCCGAUAUCUGAUUAGCUUGUUGGUAGGGUAAAAGCCUACCAAGG